UGGGGGAUAUUGCACAAUGGGGGAAACCCUGAUGCAGCGACGCCGCGUGAGUGAAGAAGUAUUUCGGUAUGUAAAGCUCUAUCAGCAGGGAAGAAAAAAGACGGUACCUGACUAAGAAGCCCCGGCUAACUACGUGCC
Molecule: ribosomal RNA, 138 nt
Filed under: uncultured bacterium
Lineage: Bacteria
Description: partial 16S ribosomal RNA
Rfam family: Bacterial small subunit ribosomal RNA
Source: RNAcentral